UACGUAGGGGGCAAGCGUUGUCCGGAUUUAUUGGGCGUAAAGAGCGUGUAGGCGGCCAGAUAGGUCAGCUGUGAAAACUCGAGGCUCAACCUCGAGACGUCGGUUGAAACCAUCUGGCUAGAGUCCGGAAGAGGAGAGUGGAAUUCCCGGUGUAGCGGUGAAAUGCAUUGAGAUCGGAAAGAACACCAACGGCGAAAGCACUCUGCUGGGCCGACACUGACACUGAGAGACGAAAGCUAGGGGAGCAAACGGG
RNAcentral lists this ribosomal RNA (253 nucleotides) under uncultured bacterium. RNAcentral describes it as "partial 16S ribosomal RNA". It matches the Rfam family "Bacterial small subunit ribosomal RNA", at positions 524 to 776 of the family's 1533-position model. The record is from RNAcentral.